CGAAGCAGUCGCCGCCGCCGCCGCCGCCUCCUCGGCGCUCGCGCCGGCUGCUCCGCCGUAAAUGACUCGAGAGAGACACACACUCGCGUUCGCAGCCUUCCUCUCGGGUCCAGGAUUCAGCGCCCACCAGGGCAGGAGCGGGCGCCGAGCUUGGCGCGCUCGUCCCCCUCCCCUCCCCGAUUCCCCGUGGUCACGUGGCCCCAGAGCGCGCAGCCCACGGCUCGCGCGCCACGGAGACUCCCCCCCGCCUCCAGCUCCCCCUAGUCUGUCCACGUGUCCAUUCCGCAUUCCCGGCCUGGGGGCGCGCGCGGCUCCUUAACGAGACUCGGGCAGGGGCCGACCUCGCGAUUCAGUUCUCCUCUGUUUUACGUUUUAUUUUUCCUUCCUAAUGCAAGCUAGCGCUGGGAUCCAGUGGGGCUUGUGGCCGCUGCGUUUCUCCCGGGUAGAUGCCACUGCAGUCUCCGAUGUUCCCUUUCAAAGGAUGCAAGCUCCCCGCCGGCGCCGGAGGUGUUCUGCAGCCGUUCUGCCAGAGGCUCGGCUCCUCUCAGGUCCCGCCGUGUGGGAGCUCUCUGGUUCUGCGUCUUCCUGCGGUGCACGGAGGAGCGGAGGAGAGGAAGGCACAGCCUGGGGCAGACCCAGCCGGCCAGCCGUAGAGGGGUCGGAGAGGACGGGAUGCCUGCCUACAGGUUGCUUUGCAAGGCUUUGCUUGGGGUGGGGGGGGGGGGUGUGUGUGAAAGGCCCUUCUUGCACAUUCACCCAGGCACCUGCUGACAAGGGAGAGGGGGCGGCUGGGGUGUCGGGGUUCGUUCCCAUCACCAGGCCUCUUCCCUUACAAUACAACCCAGAUCAGACCGGACAAGUCAACUGUCUAUCAGUCUUUGGAUCCAUGGCGGUGAUUUUACAGCAUCAGAGAAAUGGCAUCUUGUUUAUGGAAAACGGACUUGGAUCGCUCUUAAGAUCCCCCCUCCACCCUGGCUGCUGGCUGUGUCCCUGCUUCAGCUUGGCACUGGGACCCAGGAGACUGCUCUCGCCCCUCCCCAACCCCACAUCUGCCUGGAACCGGAGUACUUCAAAGCUGCCCAGGAGCCUGAAGGUCCUCGGCUUCAGCCCGUUCCCCUGGCCAUCUCUGAAAACUGGCAGGGUCUUCUCUGGUUAGGGUCGUCCAGUGACUCAGACACGGGCUUCUCUCUGCCCUGACUUCAUUUCUCUUCCUUCCUCCCUUCCUUUUAUACCAGCACUGAGUAUCUCCAGCAUCACAGGCAUUAUUGGCCCAACAGUGAGCAAGAGAGAAGUACCCCUUGCCUCAUGAAUUCCCACUCUAGAGGAGAAGGCAGAACACAGAGCUUCUACCCAGAGAUGGCUAUGACUCCUGGUGUUGCAUGCUUUUGCUCAUCUUAAGAAGACCUGUGUCAGGAAGGGCAAGGGAACCGUGAUUUCUGCCCUGCUCUUCCUGUACCUGCCGUGUGGACCUGCCCUUCAUGGACUGGGGCCCCCUGCUGGGUCAGUGUCUGAUCACCCUCUGAUCCUCCAAGUGCCAGAUUUUCCACCUCCCUGAUGCCAACAGCUCUCCUGAGGAGUAAAUACCCAAACAACCCCAACUCCAGGGCCUGUAACCCUUGGCAGUACACAUUCCAGGGACCAGGAGGAGAAUGCAUUUGGCAUGCGGAAAACACAGCCACGCAGUAUUCCAGUCCCAGUAUACCUCUGCCUUUCCUACCACGCAGUGGGCUGCCCUUAACCUCACCCCUGAGUCCUAGGCAAGGGGAGGACAGUGAAGCAAUGUCAGGUAGAGCCAAGGCUGGAGAGAAGAGCUGGCCUGUGUGCAUGUUUCUGUCCCAGUGAGCACAUGACCAACUCAAGGUGGUAUUAUCUCCUCUCCAGGUGGGGGCUGUGUGUCUUUUUGGGUAAAGGGUUGGCAAUGGAGCUGUCUCAGUUUCCAGCUCCUAGGUGAUGUUUGGAGCAGCCUUAGCCUCCUGCCAAAUAGAAUGGCAGUGAGUGAGUGCUAUAUCAGGCCCCAGUGACACUUGGAUGCACACCAAGAACCCACAUAGAAACAAGCACCCCUUUCUCCCUGACCAGCCCAGGGGACACCUGCCCUUUAGUAUGUCCCUGGUUUUUAGGAAGCCUGCCAGCAGCAGAAGACAGGUGUCAUGAAGAGGACAUUCCUGGGAUCGCCCCAGAUUCCUAGUCUGUCUAGGAAAUCCAGGAGGGCUCUAGAUUUCCUAAGCUAGCCUUCUCACUUUACAGCCACAAAAAAUUUGAGGCCUG
Molecule: long non-coding RNA, 2268 nt
Organism: Heterocephalus glaber (naked mole-rat)
Lineage: Eukaryota; Metazoa; Chordata; Mammalia; Rodentia; Bathyergidae
Source: Ensembl